Rattus norvegicus (Norway rat) is the source of this 24934-nucleotide long non-coding RNA. RefSeq lists it as uncharacterized. The record is from RefSeq and is a predicted model, not a curated record. NCBI's taxonomy places the organism in Eukaryota, Metazoa, Chordata, Mammalia, Rodentia, Muridae.
GAAGGGAGGGAGGAAGAGAGGGAGGGAAAUCAAGUAAACCUUUCUGUGAUUACUGUCCUCGCCCUAUCUGUGUCUUCUGCUUCUCUUUAAACAAGGUCACCUGCAUGCUGACCUUGACAUGUUCUUCUCUCUUCUCUGACAGUUCUUUGUAUGUUCAAUAAGCACUGGAAGGUGCAGGAUACCGAGUAGGGGUUUCAGGGACCAGGGGGAAAGGGUUAAGUCAUCUGUAACCAGCCAGAGACAGAGGCCACUCAGGUGACCAAGUAAUGGCGAGAAGGAAUCAGGAGACAGGACAGGACCCGCCCCCCCCCCCCCCCCAGCAUGCAUGCACACCUGUGUGCCGAGGAGGGCAGCAGGAUGCUUCUGAUAAGCUUGUCAUCUAAUAAUCAAAUGUCCUUAUACAGGGACAGCUGAUGUUCCAGGAGUGUGCCCCCCUUUUUAUUGGGACUGGUGAAUUUGAAGGGGUCACCGUGUGAGUUGCAUUAGAAGGCCGAGGAGCCAAGCCACGUUGCCUUUUGCCUAAAACAUCUUUCCCUGCAUUUAUUUAAGGGUUAUUGUGUUGUGGGAAUGGUUACCUGCAUCUAAGUACACUGUGCUUCUGCAGAGGGUGCUGGAUCCCUAGAACAUUUGUGAGCCACCCUCUUGGUGCUGGGAUCUGAACCCAGUUCCUCUGUCAGGGCAGAAAGCACUACUGACCCAUCAGGUGACUCUGCCUCUCCCUGUUUGGUGCUUUGAGAUGCUCACCCCAAAACAACAAAAACAAUAACCGAACAAACAAACAAAACCCCAUAAUCUCCUCAGUCCCAACCCUAAUAGCCUGGCCAAUGAGACCAAGGGACAGCGUCUUCAGAGCAAGGGAUUCUGACCCCAUGCACGCUGUUUUAAUCUUUUGUCACACAUGGCCUGGAUCACUUAAGCUUGCUGGCUUCACACGUUUCUGAAUGUUCCGUGCUGCGACUGAGUUCAGAUUGUGACAAGUCGUCAUGUCUGCCCCCAGUGCCCGCAACCCUCCAUUUCUGUAGAACUCAGUUGGUAGACUUCUUGCCUGGGAUACAAAGCCCUAGCUUCUUUAUCCAGCACUGCCUAUGCUGCCUGAGGUAGAGGCAGGAGGAUCAGAAGUUCAAGAUCAUUCUCAGCUACACCGGGAGUUCAAGGCCGGGCUGGAACAGAUAAGACCCUGCCUCGAAAACAAAAGCCAGAAACAGGAGCAAGCCCUGAGCUAUCUGGCAGCUGCGGCCAGGGCCUUCAAAACAGCCCUCAAGGUCAAAGAAGCUUCUGGAAUCAGGGUUCCUCGUCGCCAUUUGAUGGAUGAACAACAGUUACCCAGACAGAUAAGGCUGACUACCUUACAGGACACCUCACACCUCAACCAUGACCCACAUGAGACCCAAACCAGCAGAACUGGAGUCCCCACUGGCUUUGGCUGUCCUGCUACCAGCUCCUGAGGAGGCCAAGCCUCGGCCUCCUUGUCUGUCACUCUUGUCUGAGUCUGGGUUUGUGAAACGCUCACAUCAGGUUCCCAUAAACAACAUGUACCUUUUAUUUUUAGCUAGUCUAGAUCAGCUUCUUUUAAUUUUUUUUUUUUAAAUUUUCUGUUGUUUCUUAGAAAACUAUCUCCAGGACAUAGCAGAAACAGAGAGAAACCCUCCCUCUAACCCCACACACACCCACUCCACUCUCAGACUCUGCUCCUCCGCCUGGUUCCCACACACAUGCCAUUUUCUUACAUAUUUUUGCCUUCACUUUAGAUUCUGUAUCUUGUCCUGCCUUAUUUGCACAUACGCCUCUCUCUCUCUCUCUCUCUCUCUCUCUCUCUCUCUCUUUUUCUCUCUUUCUUUCCUUUCUCCCCCUCUUUCUCUCUCGCUCCCUCUCUUUCCUUUCUCUUUCUUUCCUUUCUCUAUCCCCUUUCUCUCUCUCCCUCUCUUUCUUUCUUUCUUUAUUUCUCUUUCUCUCCCUUUCUGUCUCUGUCUCUCUGUUUCUCUCUCCCUUCCUCUGUCUCUGUCUCUCUGUCUCUGUGUGUGUGUGUGUGUGCGUGCACGCGCGUGUGUGUGGUAUGUGUAUGUCUGUGUGUCUGUUUCUCUCUGUCUGUCUCUGUCUGUCUGUCUCCCCCCCACACCCGGACUCCCUGCUGUCCACCAAUGGAGGCUGUCUAGCCCUGGGAGCAGCUUUCCUUUCCUUGUAGGAAGUACUCCUCCUCCUCCUCAGUUACCUGCCUCUUUCCCCUUCUCCUUCACAUUCCUGCCUCACUGAACUCACUCACACCUGCUGUUUUCCAAGACAGGGCAGCAGGCUUUGUUUAUGUGGGUCUUUUGAGUAAAGCAAUUUCCUUUGACAUGUUUGUCACCGGAUAAGCGACUAUCUGUGACCUGUCCUGAGUCCCCUCCCCUGCCAGGCACUGCAGAGCAAUUUCCUUGGUGUGGUGGCUCUUAAUGUUUACUUUCAUUUCCACAAUUAGCCACGAUUGCUAUUUCUUUUAAAUUUUAAAGUUUCAUAGAAGCUUGCCUGGGACAUACCGGCAGUCCCAGAUACUCUGGAGGCAGAGGCAAGGAUCUUUUGAGUCCACGGUCAGUCCCCUAAGUCUAGUUUGGACACCAGAGUUACUAAUUUUCAACAGUGCCUGGCAUGAAUAUCAUAAGUCCCUGAGCAAUUGUUUGUUUAAAUCAUCAUCACCACCAUCACCAUCCUUUUAGAGAUAGGGUCUCAAGUACCCACACUUGUCUUGAACUCACUGUGUAAUGCAAUGACCUUGAACUCCAGAUCCUCCUGUUUCUACUUCACCAAGUGCUGGGCUUGCAGGCCUCUCUACCAUGCCUGGUUUAUGCAACCCUGGAAUCAAACCCAGGACGUGCUGCUGCUGAGUGCCAGACAAGCACAGGACCAACUAACUGGGCUGUAUCCCAGCUCCUUGUUUUAAUUAGCAUUUGAACUCAGUUUCUAUUCUUUGGACCAGGAAGGAGCUCUCCAGAUCUGCCCUCUGCUCUCCCCAAUUCCUUGUGGACCUCUCCAUCCAGCCUGGUUCCCCACUCCCACCCAACCCCUUUCAUUUCACAAAAGUUUUGAUGUGUCCAGGAACCAACCUGAUACUAUACCUUCCUGUCCUGCCUGCUUAGUGUAUCUCGGGCUGGCAUGAAACUGUGAAAAAUAGUGACAGAUAAGAAACACCUUGUUAGAGGGAAGGUUGUGGGGAAAGUCAGGACUCAGCCUGAGCCUGGAGGGUUGUAACACAAAGCACUGACCCCCGUGACCCUGAAAUGGGUCUUGCUUUUUCGCAGUGCAGCGAAAAACCCCGUGACUAACCGAGCUUGGCACGCCACUUGCUUCUCAGAAUUCUCAAGCAGAAAUUAUCUGAUGACUGGACUGAUGCUGCACACCCGAGUUCCAGCAGAUCCACCCAGGCACUUCCACGAAGAAGUGCUCGGAAGCCAGAGCGAGGUCCCACGCAUCCCCGCUUGUGGCCUGCGGAGCCCCAAUUUCCCAUCACUCCGGGCGCCAGUUUACGAGAACCCUGUGUACAUCUUACCUCAGUUGCAUGGUUAGGAAAAAAAGUAAGCUCAGUGAUGUCUGUCGGGUUUCCAUAGUCAGGGUAGUUACUAGAUGUGCUAAUGCGUAAUAGCUGCUUUGGCAAACCGCACCUCAAAGUCCAUAGCAUCAUCGACUUGCGAACCUUCACAACAACUUAGGCUCGCCCAAUUAAGAUAAAUAAAACCCCGCCCGAUCACCAGCGGGGUUCCCUUAACUAGCUGUGGGUUUCUUUCCUUUUUCUCAAUGAAGUAAAGGGCUCAAGUUUCUAUAUCGGGUAGCAUCUUCCUCGCUUCCUCGCUAAUUCCUGGUAACACCAAAAAGCAACGGUUCACGGGAAAGGAUUGGUGUGUGAGCUUCUCCACAGAGUUUAAACUGUGUCUGCUGUACCUCACGGCGGCGUGACAGGGACCCAGCUCCCAACCAGUACUUAAUGCCGAAUGUGUACAAAGUACAUGCCCAGGUCUGCUCACCUUAAGAAUAGUGUUCCAUUGAAACCCCGGCAAGUUCGAUGGUGCAAAACGCACACAAGAAUUCACUGUUGUUCUGGAUUUGAUUUCUGCUGCUAUUAGACCACCCACGGAUCUUUAAAAUAUACAUUGAUCAACAGAGAAAUACGGAUUUAUGGGGAGGUCUGGUGAAUUCUGAGUGUCUAACAAAAAUAAGAUUUUUUUUUUAAGAACAGGCUGGUUGACUCAUAGAAUCUAACUGUGCGUGAUCCGCAGACACACUCAAAUACAGAUGCAGCAUAGAAGAAGGUCGGUGUUCCCUAGCCCUCUCAGAAAAGAACACUCUCACAAGUUUGGUCCCAGCUAUGGCUUAGCAUCCCAGGUCCAAGACUGCUGGCCCAAAGAAUGUGCUCUAAAUUAGGUUUUCAAAAAUAAUUAAGCAUUUCCAGAAUGCACUUACACUCACUAAAAAGGAAAGUCACCGAACGGUUUCAGCAGUUUUCACACAGCUACUUAGUCAUCUUCAGAAACAGGAGUUUGGAUAAAAGUUUAAAAGUGAUGUUUGUCCUAGAGCCACUCGAUGUUUUACAAAGUUGUCAGAACUGGGCUGAGAGUUUUAAAAAAAAUAAAAUUAAAAAAAAAAGGCAAGCCCAGAGCAUCCCCACCCCACAAAACCAAGGGGCUUCCUGAUGAUUAACUUGCCCAAGGUCACACUGCUAAUGGGAAGAGAAACCAAAAUAGUGACCUUUGACUCCUAAGCCCUACCUCUUCCUCCUGAGCCUGAUGCACUCAGAACAGAAUUGAUAGGCAAUUGCAGAGGCUAGAGGGAGGGCUUGGCAGUUCCGAGCACUGUCUGCUCUCGCAGAGGACCCAGUUCUGGGUUCUGUUUCCAGCACCCACAUGGAGGCUCCCGCCAGUAACUCCAGUUCUAGGGGACCUCACACCCUCUUCUGGUCCCCUCCAACACUUAGACUCACAUGGUGUACAGAAGCUCACACAAACACAUACACACAAAAAUAAAUACUUUGUAAACAUUAUUAAUAAGAAGCUAUUUCUUUUCCUUCUUCCCCCACCCCCUUUAUAGUUUUAUGUUUUUGUCUUUUUCAAGAAAGGGCUUCUCCCUGAAACAGCUCUGGCUGUUCUGAAACUCUCUUUUAAUCUCUUUUAAGGUGCAACUCAGAUCCACCUGCCUCCCCAGUGCUGGGAUUAAAGGUGUGCCAUACCAUAUCCAGCAAAAAAAAACAACUUAAGGUGACACGUAAAGUCACCUUAACGUGAAACUUCCAAGGACCUUUGUGGGUUGGGUUUUACUCUUAACAUGAAAGGUAUCUCUCAUGAUUUUCAAUUUUGUUUCCUUAUGUAAGUCUCUGGGUGUGACCCCAGCAAGGUAUAGAUAGAUAGAUAGAUAGAUAGAUAGAUAGAUAGAUAGAUAGAUAGAUAGAUAUAGAUAGAUAGAUAGAUAGACAAACAGACAGAUAGCAGAUGAUAGAUUAAAACUCAUCAGUGAAUAAACUCGCUUAGAUUGCGUAUGAGUGAGAGGAUAUUUACAUAUGUACACACAUACAUACUCUAUUAAAUAGUGCAACUUACAGGCCAUAGGAUUAACAUUUUGAAAGAUAUGGUUCCCUACUUUUGGACACCUGUGUCCAUACACUUGCGUGGUCACCAGUCUUCCUCAGAGAUACAGCAUUCUUUUUUUUUUUUUUUUUUUUUUUUUGGUUCUUUUUUUUCGGAGCUGGGGACCGAACCCAGGGCCUUGCGCUUCCUAGGUAAGCGUUCUACCACUGAGCUAAAUCCCCAGCCCCACAGCAUUCUUAUCUCCCCUUAAGUGACUAAGUCCCUGCAUCUGUCAUAUCCACAGCAUGGCCUCACUUAAUGAGAACUGUGUCUAGGCUUUUGUGUCUAGAUUUUCUGUCAUUGUCGGGUUGUUUAAUAGCUAACACGUUUCUGAGACUCAUACCCAUUGGUGUAUACAUGCAGACCUCUCUUUUUUCAGUUCAGAAUAUUCCUUCAUUGGAAAACUGGGCUCCAGUUUAACCACUUGUCUAUUUCUGCAAAUUGGGGUAUUUCUGUUUCCGUGAACAAGUCUUCCAAAAACCGGUGACAUUUUUAUUUUUUUAUUUUCACUUUAUUGAUUGAUUGACUGAUGGAUUGAUUGAUUUGUUAACGAUUGGCUUUUCAAGAUGCUGUUUCUCUGUAUAGCAGAGCCCUGGUUGUCUCGGACUCACUUUGUAGACCAGGCUGAUCUUGAACCUCACAAUGGUUUGCCUACCUCUAUUUCCUGAGUGCUGGCAUUAAAGGUGUACACCACCGUAUCUAGCAAUUGGUGGUGAGAUAAUGUGUGAUAUACUCUAAAAUAUUUAUUUUUAUUUAUUUGUUUUUAUGCGUUCUGGGUAUGAUCUGGAGCUGGAGUUACAGGUGGUUAUAACCUUCUCUCUGUGGCUGUUGGGAACUAGACUCAGGUCCUUUGCAAGAGAAACAAGUGCUCUUAACCACCAAGCUACCUCUCCAGGGACACUGUGUGAUAACUGAUCUGUGUGAUUAGUGCAUAAUGAUCAGAUCAGAACCAUUAACAUUCUUGCUCUUUAAAUACUUAUUAUUUCCUCUCUCCUUUCCUCUCUCUCUCUCUCUCUCUCUCUCUCUCUCUCUCUCUCUCUCUCUCUCUUUCUUUCCUUUUUCAGACAUGGUCUCACUGUGCACUCCUAACCUAGAACUGUAAUGGAGACCAGGCCAGCCUUGAAGUCACAGAGAUCCACCUGCCUUUGCCUCCUGAGUGCUGAAAUUAAAGGUGUGAGCAACCAUUUCUGGCUCAAUUAUUAUUUCAAACUCCUGUCUUCUAGUUUCUCAUCAAAUAGAUAAUUAAUAGAUGUGUAGUACAACUCCCCUUCAGCUCUACAUAUGUAUCAGAGUAUAUUUCCCUAUAAAAUACUUUUGUAUUCAUCAUCUCCUACUAAUAACAUUCCCCAUAGACCUAUUUUUCCACCACUAUUCUACUGUUUGCAUCUAUCAACUCUGCGGGUUUUAUUUCCACAUAUGAAGAGGAACAUUUGCCUUUCUGUGUCUGGCUUAUUUCACUUAGCACAAUGCCCUCCUGUCAUGCCCAUUUUGCCACGAAUGACAGACUCCCAUUAUGUUUUAGAGACUCUGAGCCAUCCCUCAGCCUCCCCUCCACCCAUUCUGUCUCAUAGCCGACUGAUAAGCUACUGUGUGUAGCUACCCCAUUUUCUUGACCCACUAUUUACCUGUGGGUACCUCAGCUGGAUUCCAUAUCGAGGCUGCCCGCCAUAGAUGGUAGUGCAGUAAACAAGGGACAUAAAUGUCUCUUUGGCACAGUACAACAUUUCUUUGUGAUUUAUACCUAGGCAGAGGACUGUUGGCUCUUGGGGUAUCCAGUUAAGAUGCCACCGAGUGGUAGUCUAAUGUGGUUGUACCACUUUCACAUCUAGAACUGUGUGAGAGAUCACAUCACUUCAUAUCCUCAUCGAUACUUGGAAAUUUUGGUGUUUUAAUUAUAGCCUUGGCAGUAGGUGUGAGAUGCUUUCUUUCGCUUGUUCUACUUUGCAUUUUCCUGGUGACUAAUGCUUCCCCACAUCACCCCAAUCUCCUCCGCCAUUCCACUCAUAUGGUCUCUCUGUGGAAUACUUAUUUACUGAUUUGAACCUUUUUUCCCCCCAAGUUGGGUUUUCUUUUUAACACUGGACUGUAGAGAUACGACACGCCGGAGAUACAAGCCUCUGUGCAUUCUGUGAACUUUUUCCUUGCCUGCCUUCUGUAUUCAAUUCUGUAUUCUCAGACGUUGUCCUUUAUCUUGAACCUUGAUAACACCAAACUCCUCUUCUGUCUAAUCUUCAUGACUUCAGAGUUAGCCUUUAUUCCAAUUUUUCACCUUAGAUCCCUCUUUGUGUAUGGUAGGAGGUAAGGGUAGAGGUUUAUGUCUCUUCCCAUGUGGAAAGAGUGUCAUUUGUUCAAAGUCUGAUCUUCCUUUUAUUGAAUUUCCUUUGCACCUCUGUCAAACAUCGGUUGGCCAUGUAGGCAUGGGUCUAUCUCAAGCCUCCCCAUUGUACUCCAUCGAUCCAAUUGUUUUUUCUUUUCUCUUCCAAUGCCCGUAACCACUGCACCAGUCACCAUGGCUUUCCAGACACCUUUGAAGCUGGCCAAACAUAGAGACCAGACCCUUCAUUGUAAGGUUGUUGGGACUUUUCUCCAUACUCUGUUUCUUGACAUGAAUUUUAGGAUCAACUUCUCCAUUUAUCUUAAAAAAUAUCUGCUUGGAUCUUACUAGAUAUAGAAUUGAAUCUAUUAAUCAGCUUGAGGAUAAUUGACAACUAGUAAUAUUGAGUGUCUCAGUCCAUCACACACACACACACACACACACACACACAGACACAUACACACACACAUAUACACAAACAUAUAUACACAUAUAUAAACAUACACACACAUUCACACACAUACAUACACACACAUACACAUACACAGAUACAUAUACACACAUACUCAUAUAUACACACACAUACACACACAUAUACACACAUACAUACACAAACACACACAUACACACACAUAUACACACAUACAUACACAAACACACACAUACACACACACACACACACCUUUCCAAACACAUGUGUCUUUUCAUACUUAUUAAUACCUCAAUGAUGUCAUAUAUAUUAAUUAUAUCUAUUGUCAAAUGUUUAUUUUUGGCCUUUAUUGAAAAAAUAUGUGUUUUCAUAUAUUUUUAUGAAACAAAGAUAUCUAUAUGUUUAUGUGGGGUAUUUGCCAAAGAGUACAGUGCCUAUGGGAGACAGAGAAGACAUUGGGUCCUCUGGAGCUAAGAGUUACAAGCAGUUGUGAGUCACCUGAUGUGGGUGUUUGACACUAAACUUGAGUCCUCUGGAAGAGCGAGUGCCCUCAACCCCUGAGCUAGCCAUCUCUCCUGCCCCUAAUUUUAAGUGGUAUUUUUUUCCAGUUAUCUUUGAUUGGUGUACAGGAAUAUAACCAAUUCCAAUAAAUAGCUCUCCUGUCAAUGUAUUAAUUAGUUUCUCAGGGCUACAGAGAAUUUCCACACACCUCUGAAUGUAGUUCUUAUUUCUCUAGCUUCAAUUUCCAUGACUUUUGUUUCCUUUUUAAUCUAUGCUCAGGACAAUGCUGACCACACAUGAGUAUCAAUAUCUUAAUAUGAGUUUCUCCAUUAUCUGUGAGUGAUUCAAAUAAUAGUGGGUUUUUAUAUGUAUUCUUUACCAUGGGAGAUUGUAUUUAGUUUUAAUUUGCUGAGACCUCUGUUUUAAAUAGGUAUUCACAAGUAUUUGAUCAGCACUAUUGUGUGUAUUUGAGGGAGUUGAACUCGUUGAUUGUAAGGUUUGCAACAGAAGUGAUACUCUUUAGACCACCCGGAUGCCUGCCCGGGGGAACAUCCUUCUGUCCUCUCCCUCUUGGAUUCUUGAUCUGUAACCUAGAACGUGUCUACAGGGACCUCAUCCUGUUGGUGGACGUGUGACAAGCUCUCUGUUCAAGCACAAGCUACCAUUUUAAUACUCCAGGGUUCAUGGGAACAAUGUUGUUUAUCUUGGAGACUUCAUGAGAAAACAACAAAAAUCAUCCACCAUUUGGGGCUGGAGAGAUGACUCCUCAGUUAAGAGUGUGUACUGCUCUGGGAGAGACCCUGGACUCAGUUCCCAACACUGAUGUCAGGCAGCUCAGCAAUUGUGCCUCCAGCCUCACAGAACUUGAGGCCCCUUCUGGCCUCUGGGUGACCGUGCACAUGCCUACACAAGCACACAUGCACACACACACACACACAUUUUAAAAAAUAAUAUAUGUGUGUGUGUGUGUGUGUGUGUGUGUGUGUGUGUGUGUGUGUGUGUAAAGCCACUCCAGGAACACUGUCAAUAUUAACCUAAUUCUCCAUUCUCUAUAUUAAAGGCAAGAUGUAACCUCUCAUUUGUGGCUUGAUCUCGUGAGACUUUGACAAAGACCCUGAACAGCUCUCCUUUUCCCGUGUACUACUUCUAAAAGUUUAAGUAGAUCUGCGGGAUCCCCAAAGAAUUACAUGCAGACUACAUUAAGAUGAAAAUCUUUUAUAUUUGUUCUGUAGCUUGGAAAAGCCAGCACACGGUCUGUUUUGUUCCACGGGCUCCUAAGGUUCAGGUAUUAACAUAAAUACAGCCCAUUAACACUUGUUCCUCUCUGUCAGGACAUAAAUUAAGUCUGCAGGUGUUCCACAGAGCUGGACCCUUGGUACUAAUUAAGCCUUGAUAAUUAGGUUUGUUAAAUUCAGGGCUUUAAGCUUAUAUUCCCUCUUUGGGUUGCCAAAAUGGAGCUGCGCAGUAUUCUGCCCCUACCUUCUGGUUUUUUGGGUUUUUUUUUUUCUGUCCACUCCCUCCUUUCCUCCCUCCAUAGCCCUCCCCUUCUGUCCUUCCUUCCAUCAGUUUCUUUCUCUAGUCUUACUUCUCUUUUCUAAAGAGAGUAUUGCUGAUUUCUCUCCAUUCUAGUCUGUUCUUUCUUUCUCUCUCUCUCUCUCUCUUUCUUUCUUUCUUUCUUUCUUUCUUUCUUUCUUUCUUUCUUUUUCUUUCUUUCUUUCUUUCUUUCCUCCCUCCCUCCCUCCCUUCUUCCUCCUCCUCCUCCUCCUCCUCCUUCUUCUUCUCUCUCUCUCUCUCUCUCUCUCUCUCUCUCUCUCUCUCUCUCUCUUUCUCUCUUAAGAAAGUCAGUGUCAAACCCUUUACCAUUUUGCUGACAUAGGGUUUUGAGUCUGAGAAGUGGCUGCCUGGCUUUCUCUGGACACCAAACACAACCAAGGCUGUGUUAUAAACCAAAGAAAUCACCCUUCAGGAGUGAACUUUGACAUUACCUAACUUCAGGCAGGCAAUACACACAAUCGAAGAAAUUUGUGUUUAUGUUUAUUUUCCUUAUAGUGAAAUCAUCUGGGGUAGGGAUAUGGCUCAUGGCUUGGAAGCACGAGGACCUGAGUUUGAUCCCUAGGACUCAUGUUAAAAAAAAAAAAAAGAUAUCGUGUCAACAUGCAUGUAAUCCCAGUACUGGCAAGAUGGAGACAGGUCCAUCUUUGGACCUCACUGGCUGGCUAGCCUGGCCUACAUGGAGAGAUCCAGGACAAUGGGAACUCUGUUUCAAAAGAAGAUGGAGAGCUGUUGUCCAAGAGAUAGCAAUUAGUGUUUUCUAUGGCUGCCCCUACAUUCAAGUACACCAGAACACAUGUGAGCAUGACAGGCAUCUACACUGGCACACACAUGAAUAUCACACACACACAUGGAGAAAAAUACAUGCAUCUAUAUUGGCUCACAUAUAAUCAUGCGCACACAUGCAUCUAUACUAGUACAUACAUGAACAUCACACACACACAGAAACACAUGUGCCUGUAUUGACUCACACACAUUCAUCUAUACUGACACAUACAUGAACAUCACACACACAGAGAGAAACACAUACAUAUACAUUGCCACACAUGUGAACAUGAAUACACACAUACACAUGGAUCUACAUUGGCACACACAAGAAUAUGUAUAUGUGUAAGCAUAUGCACAUGUUUUAGCAAAACAAUAUUUGAAGACCACUCCUAGCUCUCAAAGGAAAAAAAAAAUCAAAAUUCUCUGAUUCUUUUGGUAUUUUCCCAAUAGAAUUUCCCAUCUGAGGGUGGAGGGGAUAGCUUGUGGCCUGCAGGUUGUCUGUGACUAGUCGACACACAGUAGGACCAUGACAUCCAAUAGAUAGUUCUCCUGCCUGUCUCUUCUCUUCAGUGGCUUUGUGGAUUGGUUACUCAAGUGAGAUGGUUGAUGGGUACUGGUCUUCAUUUUGAGGUAAGGGAAUCUAUGAGCAUUUGAUCCCCAAAAUACUUCCUUUACAGCCUCACUAAUUUUUGGGAUUCUAAAAGUUACACUUUUAACCAGAAACAUUUUUUAUUUGUAAAGAACAGCUUUUACCUGGGGUUAGGGGGUGCAAAACUAUGAUACAGCACCACUGUUUCUUUAGCAAGGAGCCCAUUGCUGAUCUUUCUAGGAGGGUACCCCGGUUUCAGUGAGCUCUUUGUGCUGAGGUUCUGAAGAUUGUCUUUUGCAGGGUGGCCUGCUCCUCUAGGUCCUGAGGCAGCCUUUCUUUCUCGGGUGUACUCAUCUCAAAGCUCCUGUGUCUGACACCUUCCUUCUUCAGGCUCUCUCUUCACAGUGCCAUGCCCCAUUCCCCAGACAGGGCAGAAGGAGCCUCAGGAUGAAACAGCUUGGCAAGAAACCAAAAGUUUGUGGGGAGGCAAAAGUCAGGAAGUUUGAAUAUUCAAGUAAUAGUAAGCAACAUCUUAGAGUCAAACAGGCUGAAGUUUAGGGGCGAGUUUUGAUGUGAAUUCUUUCUUUUUCCUCUUUCCCUUUCCCUAUCCUUUUAUUGGUUUCUAUCUCUUCUCCUCUCCAUCCCCCUCUUCUUCCUCCUCCUCUCCUUCUUCCUUACCCGUUUCCUCUUUCUCUCUCUCUCCUUUACCCUCACACUCUGAUCUAUCUGGUAGUCAGCGUUCUUAACAUCCAGGCACAUUAUACUUCCGUUGACAUCUGGUACAGAGAAAGAAAGACAGAUUCUCACAUGUGUGGUCCAUGUAUCUGAGGACACAUCAAGUGAACUGUGGCUACCCCACUUUGGGACUGACAGGCCCUCAACCCUUGGUCAUGAUUCGGGGCUUUCUGUACGGUACCAUCAGCUUUUAGCAAACGGGAACGAAAGAUGUGACAGGAACCAGUGCCAGUCACACGGAGUAUGUAUGAUCAGGCCACCUUCUGCUGUAGGGCUCACUGCGGCAGACUCGGAGCUGGGAGGUGGAACUCUAUUUCAGAAUCUCACUGAAUUUGGAAAGCACCACUUUCCCAGAGAAUUGAGCAGCUUGGCAGUGGACCAGGUUGUGUUUGCAGCGAUCUUGCAUCCUGCAUGCAAUGGUGUCAACAGCCAAGCAUCCUCACUUUGCAACAAAGCCUCCCCACCCCCUCCCAAAUUCCUUCGCAUCUUUUUCAGAGCAGACUUUCUGCUGCAUCGUUGAUGUUACAGGGACAGAAUGUGUUCUGAGUCACAUUAUUCCCCCUGGCAAAGAGUCACCGACGAUUAAUUACCUCAAGGACAGUGCCUGGUGACUUUUUCUCUCCUCACUGUAUUCCUUUGUAUCCCACAGCUCCACGUGGGGCUGGGAAGAUCAGCAAAGCAUGAGAGGUCAAUGGAAAGCCAGGGUGAGCAUUUCAAAAUACCAGACAGCUUGCUAGACCUGCUGUGCUCAGACCUAUAAGUGAUGCAGAGGCCCAGGCCAGAGUUUCUCCAGGAGCAGAAAAAUCUAACACUGCUCUCUCCAGCUACAGCCCACCGGCUGGAGAGAAAGUAUUAAGGUAAGUUCCCUAGCUCCUGCUGGUAAGAAAAGAUAGCUCUUUCCUUAGUGGAGGUCGACCAUCCUCUAGGACAGAACCCAUGUGAAGCACCCUUUUGCUUCCUAGAAUGGUCUCAAUUGAUGUAAUUCUCACCUCUCCCCCCAACCCCCCAAUCUAAUUUUACUUUCCUGUCUGAGGGAAAAUCCAGAAAGGACUGAAUUAUUUCUGCCUGGCUGCAGUACUGAGCAAAGUCACAUGAGAGCCUGCCCAGGGCCAGGAAUUCACAUUCUAAGGUCCGUGUACCUAAGGUACACAUCUAGGUCUAAGGUCGUGCUAGUGGGCACGAGGUUUUUGAGGUUGUUCAUCUGGAUAGAUCACCCAUAACUGUCUGAAAAUGGUCCAAUCACAGUGAGAGUCCAGAAUUUGAUAAAUGUUCAUUGUACGAUCAUACAUUGAGAACCUACUUUGUGCUUGUGUGUGUGUAUGUGUGUGUGUGUGUGUGUGUGUAUGUGUGUGAACAUGUGUGUGCCAGAAGUUAACCUUGAGCCUUGAAUGUCAUCUUUCAACCUGUUUUUUAAGACAGUUUCUCACUGGCCUCUUCCCUAGUAAGAAGGCUGGCUGUCUAGGGAGCCUCAGUGAUACCAUGCCCCCUCCACUCCCAGCACUGAGCUUAUAAAUACCCACAAACCACAACACUCAGUUUUAUUUUUAUUUCUGGGGAUCAAAUCCAGAUCCUCGUGCUUACAAAACUAGUGCUUUGCUACUUGAGGUGUCUUCCUAGCUCCUUGUUAUAAUAAGCAUUUUUGAUAUGGAAGAUUCUUAUGUUUCAGUCUAGAUACUUUUUUUCAAAAGCAGUAGAUUUAUGAAAUGGGCGCAUAGUGGUGAGAGGCACCAGCUCAACGUUAGGCACUCUUUGGGCUCUGUUUUUCCUAAUUUUUUAUUUUUCCUUCUCUGCUUCUCAUCAACCUUGGCAAUAAAAGAUAAUAAUGUCAGUGAUCCUCACAGGGCUGUUUGAAGGUUUAGAUUUCUCACGCCAUCCAGCAGAUAUCGAAUAAUUGCUAUAAAUAAAUAAAUAAAUAAAAUUCCUAUAUUAUUAUCAUUAUUAUUAUUAUUGACAUGAACAACUGUAUUAUUUCUCUUGUUGCUUGAACACUAAGGAGGUAUUGUCCUCUAGGCAGAUCUGUGAAGAAUUCCCUUGAUUAUGUUAAUUGUGGUAGAAAGUCAUGCCACACCCCCACCAUUGUGGGUGGUGCCAUUCCAUGGAUUGAAAUAAAAAGGAGAAAUUGAGUGUUGGUGAGAUGGCUCAGUAGGUAAAGGCACUUGGUGACAAACCUGAAGACAUGAAUUUCAUCCCCAGGACACAUGUGGUAGAAGAAAAAAAAAUCAACUUCCACAAUCUGUCCUCUGAUGUGUUAUAGCAUGUGGUGCAUACCUAGAAACAUACACACCUCACAAUGUACACAAAAGCUUAAUACUUAAAAUGUUAGUGUUUUGGGGGAGGGGGGUAUUGCUCAGCUGAUUCACAAGCCGAAGCUAUGACUUCCCUGCUAUGGUGGACUGUAUCUUCAAACUGUAAUCCAAAAUAAACCUUUCCUACCUUAAGUUGCUUUGUCAGGUAUUCUGGUCAGAGCAAAGAGAAAAGUGACAAACAUAGGAGUUUGCAUUGUGUUGUUUGAGUGCCCAUGUAAUUCUUUAGGUAAACUGGGGCCUUUUAGUUAUAGGCAAAAACAAAACAAAAGAUGAUACAGAGACACAGGAUGUGAAUUGGGAUAUCUGGUCAACCCAGCUCUACUCCAUUAGAUUUAGCUACUCUCUAAAAUUUCAGGAUUUUUGUAUGUUGGAGUUGGUAGGUUUUGUUUAUAUGUUUCUGUUUGGUCACUUUUGGUCUUAUCCACUCAAUCCUAUUCAGAAAAGUAAGGUGUAGGAGCAAUUUUUUUAAAUCUGUCUUUAGAACAGCCUCAUAUUUUCUUCCUUUUUAAACUGAGCACCCCUUUAUAACUUUGUGCUUGUUGUAAUGGUUGAUGCUCACUGUCAACUUGAUGGAAUCUGGAACCACCUGGGAGCCUGGCCUGUGAGGGAUUACCUUGAUUAUGUUAAUUGAAGUGGAAAGAUGAGCCACUGUGGGUGGCACCAUUCCCUGGCUGGGAUCUUGAGUUAUUUAAGUAGAGCAGGGGAGCUGACUAGUAAUAUGCAUUCUCAUCAACCUAAUUGUGAAUUAUAUGUGGCCAGCUGCUUCCAGCUUCUCCUGCCUUCACUUUCCUGUCAUGUAUUGAGGGCCAGAAGAUAUCCUUUCUUUAUUACAUUGUUUUGGUCAGAAGGUAUUGUUACAAGGACAAUAACAAUAACAACAGAGUAACUAAUGCAGUGCUCUUAUUAGUUCUUUGCAAUCUUCCCAGCCUCCAGCAUCUCUCAACUGAGCCCCAUCCUAGAGUUAUUACGACAACAUAAAAUCCACUUUUAUUCUUUCUAGUCCAUACUUCAAAUGGAAGUGUGAGUCUCUGACUUUCUUUCUUUUUUCUUUCUUUCUUUCUUUCCUUCUUUCUUUCUUUCCUUCUUUCUUUACUUCUUUCUUUCUUUCUUUCUUUCUUCCUUUCUUUCCUUUUUGGGGGAGUGUGUUUUAAAAACUGUUGUGCCACCAAGAUCUUCAGUGAUCUUGACUUAGGUCUGAUCUUAUUUGAGGAGGUGUACCAAGCCACUGCUUUGGCCAGAUGCUUUGGAAAAUGCAUCUUCAUUUUAUUUAUGUGUGCCACAUAUAUAUAUAUACUUACCAGCUAGAAGGAAGUCAAAAGAAACCUAAGACAGACUAAGACUGAAGAUGCAUCUCCCCCUUACCCCAAGAGUUCUAAUAACAAGAAUUACAUAGCCGUGAACUCUUUUUUUCCCGUGAGACAGGGUUUCUCUGUGUAACCCUGGCUGUCCUAGAACUCACUCUGUUGACCAGGCUGGCCUCAGACUCAGAGAUCCAUUUGCUUCACCUCCAAAGUACCAGGGAUUAAAGGUGUGGCCCACCAUUGCCCAGCAAGCCAUGGACUUUCAAGAUGUCAGUUGCCUCUGGCUAGAGAGAAGCCUGGGGGGUGGGGGGGAUAAAGGUCCUUAGCUUGAGCCCCAACACAUAUGUGAAAAUACAGACAGGUUUAUGUGGCCCUGGAAUUCUGGUGUUGAGAGGGGUAGAGAUCGGAUCCAUGAGGCUUGUUGGCCAGCUAAUGUAUCUGAAUUAGCAAGUUCCAGGUUCAAUGAACCAUCCAGGUGGGGAUGAGGGUGGUGGUGGUAGGCAGUGAGUCCCAGUUUCUGAGAUCUUACCUUAAAAAAUAAGUUGGUAUCUCAUAAAACAAGACUAUAGAUAAAGAAUACAUUCCAACAACACCCUCCACACCCACACAGAAUGUGAGCUACCAGAAUGCAAGAGCAGAAUCCUAUUCAUGAAGCCCCUUUUACAAAGAACUUCUUAGAAAGCUGGGGCAAAAGGGCUCUGAAUUCCAAACACUGGUUCCAUCAAAUGCAUCUCCCACAUUGUCUAAAUUGGCUCAAGUUAUAACUGUUGGAGAGGCCAGCUAUCCCUGAUGCCCCUCCCACAUGUAAAAGGAUCAAAGCGUCAUUAAGGAGACAGAGCUUUUCCAUAGGUAGCCAUUCAAUCAGUGUUUGUAGGUAGAGUGGGGAAAUGAGAGUCUGAAUGAAUGAAUGAAUGAAUGAAUGAAUGAAAGAAUGAAUGAAUUUCAUUUACUCUCUGGGUAAACACAGCAUUCCUAGGAGAGUCCCAUAGGAGUCCAUAAUCCCAGGAUUUCUAUGAAGAGUUCAGCUACCUUAGGACAGUUGGUUUCCAGGAAGCCCCAAAGAGGCUUGGAGGUGGUUUGUAAUAGAGCUUCUCUAUUACAAGGAGUGAUACCAAGGAGAGAAAGUGGUUCUGAAAUAGGAACUAGGAAAGCCCUAGGCCUUGAAUGGGAAGUCUUUGUUAGGAGCCAAGGCAACCCAGCAGGAAGACCUCUUUGAUAUGUAAAUGAGCCCGAUAGGGAUUUCCUUUCUUUUAGCUGUUUGUAGUGUCCCACAGCACAGCCUCCAAAGUAGCCCUCCCAGAAGCCCCAACUGGAAUUCUCUUGAAGCAUACAAGUUGCUUGGCUCUGCACAGCCCAGAGCAGCUCUAGAAUCCACUCUGAGCUGUCAUUUAUUGUCCUUCCUAUGUGUACCACUAUUAAAGUGCAGAAGACCCUUUAACUCUUUUUAUAAAAUUAAAUUUUUAUUAUUUUUUACUUACUUAUGUUACAUCCCACUCAUUGCCCCUCUCCUGUUCGGUCACCCCUUCCCACAAUCCUUCACCCAUCCCCCAUUCCCUUCAUCUCUUAGUUGGUGGGGAGGUCCCCGGGUAUCCUUCCCACCCUGGCACUUCAAGUCUCUUCAAGGCUAGGCACUUCCUUCCCCACUGAGGCCAGACAAGGCGGUCCAGCUAGUAGAACAUACCCCACCUAUAGGUUUUGGGAUAAUUCUCUUUCCAGUUGUUCGGGAACCACACGAAGGUCAAGCUGCACAGCUGCUACCAAUAGCUAGCCCAACUUGAGACUCAUCCCGUGGGCAAGCAUCAGUCCUUAACACUAUUGAUGAUACUCUGUUAUGCUUGCAGACAGGAGGAUGUUGCUCUCUGAGAGGCUCCACCCAGCAGGUGACUCUGACAGAUGCAGACACCACAGUCAAACAGUGAUGGAGCUUGGGGAGUGUUAGGGAAGAAUAGGAGGAAGGACUGUGGGCCCUGAAGGGGAUAGGAACUCCACAGGAAGACCAACAUGGUCAACUAACCUGGAUCCUUGGGGCUCUCAGAUUUUGGACCACCAACCAAAGAACAUAUGUGGGCUGGACCUAGGCCUCCCUGCACAUAUGUCCCUUUAACUCUCAAUCAUGUGCUGAAUUCUUCUAAUCCUGUGCAUCACCUGAUGAUGUAUGCAGGUUCCUUGACUCUGUGGUACUGUGUGUGUCAGUGUGUGUGUGUGUGUGUGUGUGUGUGUGUGUGUGUGUGUGUGUGUUUAAAUAGGGAACAUGUACACAAAGACAUUGUUCCUGUCAUCAAAGAGUCUAAGGAGGGGUGGGGUGUGACUUCAUCUCGGGCCUAAGAGCUUGAAUGGAUCCUAUUUAAAGAGUAGAAGAUGAAAGAUUUUCCAUUCCAGGGAGACAGAAGAACUCAGAAGAUGAACCAGAGAUACCAAGCCCUAGGCAGGACUAGAGUUGCAACAUUCAUCAACAAGGCACUGGAGGUCCUAGCCUAUAGUAAGGGGAUAGAAGGCCAGGGUGCUGGGAGCUGCUUACAGCUUUAUAAGCCAUAGGAAGGAAUUUGGGGUUUGUUUCUUGUCUAGCUAUUCCCAUCAUCCCCUGGUAUAUCCACCCAUGGGUGUUUAUGGUACCCAAUUUGCAGAGUAACUAAGCUUCAUAACUUCCACUUCUUCAAAGCUUUAAGCCAAGACAAAGGCAACUGUGAGCCGACCCCACUAUUUAAGAGCCAGUAGUAUCUUCCCUUACUCCCUCCUGUCACGUGGCUACUUUAUACGGCCCAUCAUGACAGACAGGCAUUUGUGUAUGAUGAAAUGUCAAGAGAGAAGAAAUAAAGAUCCCAAUCCUCUUCGAAAGAGUAGCCUUCGGGCAUCCUGCAUUAACCGUUCAGCCUUUGAGCCUGUUAUUAAACUUUAUGGACCAUAAGCCCCACAGACCCAAGGAGAGGGAACAGCCAUAUUAUUAUACGAGUGUCACAAUUGGAGCUGGGCCGCCUGCCUUGUCCCUGGUUAUAGCACUCACCCAGCCUCGCCGUUAGCCCCAGGAAGAACUCAGUCGCACAUGAAGGCUCUCUGAGAAAGUCCACUUAAAUGCAAGUUCACCUUCAGAAAUCUGGGCCCAGAGUCAUGCGACAUCUGACUCUGUUUACUCCACUAGGAUGCCUCUUGCCAGGAUCGGACAGCUCAGUUUUCAAACACCUGCCUCUUAUUUUGAGUGAGAAUAAGGUUAUUCUAUGGGUCCAUUUACUCCAGAUAGAGUCAGGCAAAUAGGCAUGGGCCAUGCCGUCCAUGGCAGCCAAGUCAGUGGCUAUUGAGAAGAAAGGCCAAGUGCCACUUGGUAAAAGAUACACUGGAUGGGAAGAGUCAAGCCAUUCAUAUAGUAAAAAAGGUUCUGUGCUUCUUACAAUGAUAUUUCUAACUUUUAUCUUCCAGAAAUACAGUGUCAUUUCAACUUUAUAGUAAUCUCAAAAUUUCCAGAUACAUUUGAUUUAAUGGUCCAAGAAACCCCAUGUCAGGAAUCUACACCAUUUUAUUAUUGUUAUUUAUAAAAGUGGUCACUCUCAGUGUUUCUGCAAAUAUUUCUGCCUUCUGUGUCUGGGGAUAACAAGUCCCUGGCCCUUUGGAGUCAAGCACAGGCACAUCUCCUUGUAGCAAGGUGUGAAUGAAAAUAUUACCUUUCGGAAGAUAUUCACCAUUGUCUGUAAGAAAGACUCACUGUUGUCUGUAGCCGUGUGGUUGUGAACUCACCUGGUGAGAUGCUCCUCCAUUUUCUAGGGUCUCCAGAGUUACAGUGUGACCGACAUUUAAGCUUUUACUGUGUCAAGUCCCUGAAUGAGGUGUGGUGAGUGCAUUAGAUGCUCCUCCCACCUCUACCCUCCCACCACCUACUGCCCACCCCACUGACUAAAGGGAGGGAGGGAGGGAGAGAUGGAGGGAGGGAGGAAUGGAGGGAGGCUUUGCUUUGGCUCACAGGUCAAGAUGGAAAUGUUAUGGUGGCAGGAGCUUGAGCCAGCUUCUCACAGUCCACCACAGUCAGAGAAGUGAAGGAUAGCAGUCCUCAGCUCACCUUUUCCUUUUUAGUCAGUACCACACCCCAAGGAACAGUCCCACCCACCGGAAGUUAAGGCAGGUCUUCCUACCCAUCCUAAUCAAUAUGAAGAGUCACAGGUGUGCCCAGACUCUUGUUUCUUUGGUGAUUCCUAUAGAACUCAUCAAGUAGAUAAUCAACAUUAGCCACCAGAGGGUCUAUUCCUCACUGCAGCAGAAUGUUGCCCAUCCUUCCAAAGAUAGGAUAUGGCAUUCUAUAUCUGGACAUAUAUGGGUCUUUUAUGUUUAGCACAACAUAAGCCUUCUCGAGGUAAAUAUAUUGGGAACAUGUUCUCAUUCCAUUGCAUGGUUCUCCUUUAUAACAAAUCACAGUAUUUAUAAAAUAUAUCCUCAUUUUUUAAAGUAAAAAGAAUAAAUUUUGUCUACAUAUUUGCAGGUAAGUGUAAGUGCCCUAGGAAGCCAGAGGCAUCAGACUCCCAUGGGGCUGGAGUUUUAUAGGCAGUUGUAAGCCACCCGAUGUGAGUGCUGGGGACUGAACUCACAAAGUUCUCUGUUCUUAACCACUGAGAAAUCUUUCAGUCCCUUGUAGCUUCAUGUUAUAUUCGGAAUGGAGAAAUAAUCUUUUUUUUUUCUCUUGCUGGCCAGCUUUAGUCAACCCCUACCUUCUCUAGAGACACAAAGGUGCCAGAAAUCACAACGGUUGAAAGACAGAGAAGUUGGAUGAGAAAUGAGAAAAGGAAGAGGGAAGCUAUAGGUCCACAGAGGCAAUAAGGCUCAGGAGUGUGCUCCCCACUGUGGGGUAGGACAAACUCCAACCUUGGUCAUCCUCUUGCUCAGUGUAUGAGACUCACAGAUGAUGCUGGUUGUGAAAUCAGAUCAUCAGCCCUCACCUCCAGGGGAGUCUGAGGCAAUAAACAGAACCAGGCACCCAAAUGAUGAGAGCUUAUGGCAGACUGGUCAAUACACCAUAUGCUACCUGGCAAUGGUAGUGAGGCCUGCUAGCCUUCUUCGGAGCCUUGACAGUCAGAUUCUGAAUUUGGUGACGGCUGCCAUGCAUUGAAUUACCUGAGAUGAGUUUUCCACUGUCUUUGAACUUCAAUAUCCUCUAACGGAGAUGGUACUUUUUUCCUGAAGCUUUUAAAAAGCAAUUAUCGUGAGCCAUAAUGAUCACACGAACUGCAGUUCCGCUGUAAGCCAGGCACAUGUGAGAGAGCACGUUUGGUGUGUGUAUUUGGCAGGAUUCGAUAGUGGGGCGGGGGGGAGAGAGUUUAUUAUGUUGGCUGACAUCAGACAGUCUAGGUGCUCCAAAAAUAGCGACUCAUACUGGAGAAGUAAGAGUCUGAGAGUUUCUCAAUAUGUGAGGCUGACUAUGUCACCAGUCUCCAUCUGGUACUUGAGUCCCGAAGGUUUCCCGAAGAGUCGCUGGUCUUCACGCUGGAAGAAGUAGGUUCUAAGAUCGGUGAAGGAGUGCAGCAGGAAUAGGUUAGAUGAACUUGCCAGCAAGAUUGAAGGUGUGCACACUAAAAGCAGAGUUUCCUUUCUCACCUCCCUUUUGUCUGGACUGCCUGAGGAAGACAUUGCCCAUUUAGGUGGCCUUCCCCCAAAUAAUCAGACCGAGGAAAUUCCUCUCGGGAAUGCCAGUCCCUUUCAGUUGAUCCUGGAACCAAUCAAAUCGACAACCAAGAUUGACCCUCACCAUUUAUUAUUUAUUUACACCUAUACAGUGACUCUCAGAGAGGUCACUGCCAUGAUCUGUAUGCUGCACGUGGCAAAUCUAAACAUUAGUGAAUUUGCCUAGGGUCACAUGGUCAAGAAGUGACACAUAGAAGACUUUCCUUCUCUGUCUUAUGCUGAACUCCAUAUGAGGAGUCUGUUCACUGUAUUGUCAGAGACCAUGUGAUGUUGGUUCUCUUCUCCCCUCUUCCAUCAAUGUCCUUGGAAGAUAGAAACAGUAAGAUCGUAUCUCAGCACUGUAAUCUAGCAUGACCGUCCCAGGGAAACACCUUGUGGAAUUCUAUUUCUUACCAUUUUAUGUCCCCUGUAAUAUCAUUCAAGUUCUCCUCUGUAAAAGGCAGUCCCUUCAGCUCUCAUAAAACUUUACAGUCUUUCCUUGUGAUUAGGCAAUAGUGAAAUUGGUUCUCUAAAACCAACUUCUAGUCGAGUUAUGUGAUUGGCCAAUAAGAGAGGCCAAGAGAGUAAGAUGUACAAAGUUCUCCCUCAAGAGGUCAGAUGUAUUAUCAUUGGUCAGAUUCUGCAUCUUUAAAACACCAUCAGCUUGGAAAACACUAUCCAUUAGGAAGAGAUCAGAGCAGUGAGAAACCUCAGAAGGUCACGAGGUCCAUUCUGAGGGCUCUGCAAAGAACUCAGCAUCCCAGAAGGACAAUGAGCCUUCCAUCCUGGGGGCUAUCUGAGAGCGCAGCGCACCUGAGGCUUUCCCCUUAGCGAAUUAACCGAUUGGGCUUCAGCCCUAGCUUUUGCUUCCCACAUCCAACAUUCUGCCUCCCCCUGAGCCAAAUAGAGUAGAUCCUGUGGUUUUUGUAGCUGACUCCAUGUAAGGACUGAAACUCUGAACUUGAAGAGAGAGCGCUUCUCACUGCCCUCCUCACAAGUUUGCUUGCUGCCAUUCACAUGGACAGACCUGGAGACACCCCCACCACCACCCCCCAUGCUGUCCCCUACUGUUUUACCUUUCUCGACUUCUUCCCCGGGCAGUAAUUGGCACACGACCAAGUUCGGGUUAAUGGAUUGUUGGGUGGGUAAAACCCACUUACAAACAUCAGCCCUGUACAGCUCUCCUUCCCCUUUUCCUGCAGGCCAAAUGCUUGGAAGCCUAAGGUUAAAGACUACAGAGCUACAAGACAAAAUGAGACAGCCACAGAGCCACUGUGGAGCAAAGCCACUCGUGCAUCAGAUAUACUAGUUCCGGGCCUGAGGAAAUGGCUCGGUUGGUACAUAGAAUGCUUAUUGUAUAAGCAUGAAGGCCUAAGUGUCUUCCCCAGAACUCAGGUUAAUAGAAAAUCUUGAUACAAUGGAGCAGGUGGUAAGUUUCAGAUUGAGCCAGUAAGAUGGGUCAGCAGUAAAAGCUAUUGCUAAACAACUCCAGUAAUAUGAGUUUUAUCUCUAGCAUCUACAUAAAUGUGGAGGAAAAAACAGAUUCCACAGAGCUCUUCCCUGAGCUUUAUUUGCACACAUGGCAGGUACGUGUGCACGUGUGUGCACACACACACACGCACACACACAAAUAUAACAACAGCAACAAUAACAACAAUAAUAAACAAAAAUUUAAAAGUAGGGUAGAAAGCAACUGAGAAAGACAAAAGGCACCUAGGGCUGACCUCUGGCUUCCAUAUGCAUUCACACACAUACACACAUGUACCUGUACACACACACACACACACACACACACACACACACACACAGUAACUGCUGUCACCCCAGCUGAUACCUGUGCUCUUACUGUUAUUUUGGGCAGAUACUUAUAGCAAUACAUUCAACUGCGUUGCUGGUCAGAAUGAAGAUUAAACUCUGCUAAGAGUGAGUGCAGUAUGAUCCCAUUUUUCUACUGUAUGGAUCUUGUCCCUUUGCUGGCAUUCAUCCUAGGCUUUUGUCCAAAGUAGCCACUCGUAUUUUCUCAAUCUAACGGCUGUUUUACUUCUCUGCAGCUAGAAUGGAGUUUCCUAAAUUUAUUGGUUUAUGAGUGAAUGAAUAAAUGAAUGAAUGAAUGGGUGAAUGAAUUUAUGAAUGAGGAGUUUCAGCUCGUACAUUUUACUUUUAUUUUUUUCUCUAAAGGUUUGUUUUUAUUUUACGUGUGUGUAUGAAGAUUUUAAUGUAUGGGUGUAUAUGCACCAUGUGAGUGCAGUGCCCACAGAGGCCAGAAGAGGGCAUCAGACCCUCCUGGAGUUGGUGUUAUAGACUGCCAUGAGCAUCCAUGUAGAUGCUGAGAGCUGGAGCUGGGAUCUCUUGAAGAGCAACAAGUGCUGUUACAUGCUGAGCCAUCGCUCCAGCUCCCACUUUAUUUUUCCAACCGUUCCAGUUUCGUGUAAUUUUGCUUUCUUUUUAGUCAAUGAGAUUUCAUGUAAUUUUGCUUCCUUUUCGGUGAAGGAAACUUCUGAAGCGAGUAACUGAAUUAGAGUCAUCUGUGGUUUAACUGAGAUACACUGAGCACCCAGUGUUCCGGGAGCUGGGCCAGGUACCUAGUAUGAGAGGGACACCAGGUAGAGUCAAGCGAAGGGAUCAGGUGAGAAGAUUGUUGUUGGAUGAUGUCAUACAGGGGAAGGCGGGUACAAGAUAAAAUAAGGCCUUUCAUUGGACGAGAAGGAAGGAUGGGCGGGAGAAAAGUUUUAGAGAGAGGAAGAGACUAGAGCAAGGGGGAGAAGCAGCGGAGAGACCAUGGAGGCGGAUGUUAAGAUUCCUCUCUGCACAUUUACAGAUGGAGGGAUUUCCAGCGCGUCAUCACAGAACUUAUUCAGACGGUGACUAACUGCCCCACUCGAAUCCCAUGACAGCAGAGAAUUGUGUACUAUGUGAGGCUGCGCAGAGGCCAUUCCUCCGUCCGAAGAGGGUAGCAGCACGUGAAAAUGGACGUUCUAUAGCGGUGGCUCUAACAGCUCUCUUCCUCUGAGCAUGCCUACUCUGAACUCUGCAGCUGCUCCACCCUGGAAAUACUGAUCUCCAAUGUUCAAGUGCUAUCAAAGUUCUGAGCAUUUGGGAUUAAAAAAAAAAAAAAGAAAAUCAGAAAAUUGUACUUGAUGCUGAUGGUUCCUGGGGAAAAGAAAAAAUCCAAUGAUGUUAAUUUUUUGACUGAAGAUAAAUUAUGUCACUCACCUUU